AGUGGGAUAGCUGGGUCAAAUUCUAGUUCCAUUUCAAGUUUUCUAAGGAAUCUCCAUACUGCUUUCCAUAGUGGUUGCACCAAUUUGCAGUCCCAUCAGCAAU
Molecule: microRNA precursor, 103 nt
Filed under: Marmota monax (woodchuck)
Lineage: Eukaryota; Metazoa; Chordata; Mammalia; Rodentia; Sciuridae
Source: RNAcentral